GAGUGAACGCUGGCGGUAGGCCUAACCCAUGCAAGUCGAACGGCAGCACAGUAAGAGCUUGCUCUUACGGGUGGCGAGUGGCGGACGGGUGAGGAAUACAUCGGAAUCUACUUUUUCGUGGGGGAUAACGUAGGGAAACUUACGCUAAUACCGCAUACGACCUACGGGUGAAAGCAGGGGAUCUUCGGACCUUGCGCGAUUGAAUGAGCCGAUGUCGGAUUAGCUAGUUGGCGGGGUAAAGGCCCACCAAGGCGACGAUCCGUAGCUGGUCUGAGAGGAUGAUCAGCCACACUGGAACUGAGACACGGUCCAGACUCCUACGGGAGGCAGCAGUGGGGAAUAUUGGACAAUGGGCGCAAGCCUGAUCCAGCCAUACCGCGUGGGUGAAGAAGGCCUUCGGGUUGUAAAGCCCUUUUGUUGGGAAAGAAAAGCAGCAGGUUAAUACCCCGCUGUUCUGACGGUACCCAAAGAAGAAGCACCGGCUAACU
Molecule: ribosomal RNA, 488 nt
Filed under: uncultured bacterium
Lineage: Bacteria
Description: partial 16S ribosomal RNA
Rfam family: Bacterial small subunit ribosomal RNA
Source: RNAcentral